GUGUUUGUUCUGGCAGCACAUAUAUUAAAAUUAGAAGGAUACAAAGAAAAUUUUCAUGGCCCCCUGCAUAAGGAUGACACAUUAGUUUGUGAGUUCAUGCAUAUUUCU
Small nuclear RNA from Cervus hanglu yarkandensis (Yarkand deer), 108 nucleotides. The record is from Ensembl. NCBI's taxonomy places the organism in Eukaryota, Metazoa, Chordata, Mammalia, Artiodactyla, Cervidae.